AUUGAACGCUGGCGGCAGGCCUAACACAUGCAAAUCGAGCGGAUGAAGGGAGCUUGCUCCUGGAUUCAGCGGCGGACGGGUGAGUAAUGCCUAGGAAUCUGCCUGGUAGUGGGGGAUAACGUCCGGAAACGGGCGCUAAUACCGCAUACGUCCUGAGGGAGAAAGUGGGGGAUCUUCGGACCUCACGCUAUCAGAUGAGCCUAGGUCGGAUUAGCUAGUUGGUGGGGUAAAGGCCUACCAAGGCGACGAUCCGUAACUGGUCUGAGAGGGUGAUCAGUCACACUGGAACUGAGACACGGUCCAGACUCCUACGGGAGGCAGCAGUGGGGAAUAUUGGACAAUGGGCGAAAGCCUGAUCCAGCCAUGCCGCGUGUGUGAAGAAGGUCUUCGGAUUGUAAAGCACUUUAAGUUGGGAGGAAGGGCAGUAAGUUAAUACCUUGCUGUUUUGACGUUACCAACAGAAUAAGCACCGGCUAACUUCGUG
Molecule: ribosomal RNA, 484 nt
Filed under: uncultured bacterium
Lineage: Bacteria
Description: partial 16S ribosomal RNA
Rfam family: Bacterial small subunit ribosomal RNA
Source: RNAcentral